UACGUAGGGUGCAAGCGUUAAUCGGAAUUACUGGGCGUAAAGCGUGCGCAGGCGGUUUUGUAAGUCAGAUGUGAAAUCCCCGGGCUUAACCUGGGAACUGCGUUUGAAACUACAAGGCUAGAGUGUGGCAGAGGGGGGGUGGAAUUCCACGUGUAGCAGUGAAAUGCGUAGAGAUCAGGCAGGACACCUGGGGCGAAGGCGGCCAGCUGGGCCGUCCCUGACGCUGAGGCGCGCGAAGGCGUGGGGAGCGAACGGGG
This 257-nucleotide ribosomal RNA is filed under the name uncultured bacterium. RNAcentral describes it as "partial 16S ribosomal RNA". It matches the Rfam family "Bacterial small subunit ribosomal RNA", at positions 524 to 777 of the family's 1533-position model. The record is from RNAcentral.